Molecule: ribosomal RNA, 253 nt
Filed under: uncultured bacterium
Lineage: Bacteria
Description: partial 16S ribosomal RNA
Rfam family: Bacterial small subunit ribosomal RNA
Source: RNAcentral
UACGAAGGGGGCUAGCGUUGUUCGGAAUCACUGGGCGUAAAGGGCGCGUAGGCGGUCCCUCAAGUCAGGCGUGAAAGCCCCGGGCUCAACCUGGGAACCGCGCUUGAGACUGAUGGGCUAGAGUUCGGGAGAGGAUGGUGGAAUUCCCAGUGUAGAGGUGAAAUUCGUAGAUAUUGGGAAGAACACCGAUGGCGAAGGCAGCCAUCUGGACCGACACUGACGCUGAGGCGCGAAAGCGUGGGGAGCAAACAGG